AACGAACGCUGCGGCAGGCCUAACACAUGCAAGUCGAGCGGACCCUUCGGGGUUAGCGGCGGACGGGUGAGUAACGCGUGGGAAUAUGCCCUUCUCUACGGAAUAGUCCUGGGAAACUGGGGGUAAUACCGUAUACGCCCUUUGGGGGAAAGAUUUAUCGGGGAAGGAUUAGCCCGCGUUGGAUUAGGUAGUUGGUGGGGUAAUGGCCUACCAAGCCGACGAUCCAUAGCUGGGUUGAGAGGAUGAUCAGCCACACUGGGACUGAGACACGGCCCAGACUCCUACGGGAGGCGGCAGUGGGGAAUCUUAGACAAUGGGGGCAACCCUGAUCUAGCCAUGCCGCGUGAGUGAUGAAGGCCUUAGGGUUGUAAAGCUCUUUCAGCUGGGAAGAUAAUGACGGUACCAGCAGAAGAAGCCCCGGCUAACUCCGUG
This 432-nucleotide ribosomal RNA is filed under the name uncultured bacterium. Its description in RNAcentral is "partial 16S ribosomal RNA". It matches the Rfam family "Bacterial small subunit ribosomal RNA", at positions 29 to 507 of the family's 1533-position model. The record is from RNAcentral.